Molecule: ribosomal RNA, 468 nt
Filed under: uncultured bacterium
Lineage: Bacteria
Description: partial 16S ribosomal RNA
Rfam family: Bacterial small subunit ribosomal RNA
Source: RNAcentral
GACGAACGCUGGCGGCGUGCUUAACACAUGCAAGUCGAACGGAAAGGCCCUGCUUUUGUGGGGUGCUCGAGUGGCGAACGGGUGAGUAACACGUGAGUAACCUGCCCUUGACUUUGGGAUAACUUCAGGAAACUGGGGCUAAUACCGGAUAGGAGCUCCUGCUGCAUGGUGGGGGUUGGAAAGUUUCGGCGGUUGGGGAUGGACUCGCGGCUUAUCAGCUUGUUGGUGGGGUAGUGGCUUACCAAGGCUUUGACGGGUAGCCGGCCUGAGAGGGUGACCGGCCACAUUGGGACUGAGAUACGGCCCAGACUCCUACGGGAGGCAGCAGUGGAGAAUAUUACACAAUGGGCGGAAGCCUGAUGCAGCAACGCCGCGUGCGGGAUGACGGCCUUCGGGUGGUAAACCGAUUUCGCCUGUGACGAAGCGUGAGUGACGGUAAUGGGUAAAGAAGCAACGGCUAACUACGUG